This is a long non-coding RNA of Homo sapiens (human), 4976 nucleotides long. Ensembl annotates it as TMEM161B divergent transcript. Its record names the gene TMEM161B-DT. Lineage: Eukaryota; Metazoa; Chordata; Mammalia; Primates; Hominidae. The record is from Ensembl.
GUCGACCCCACGCCACGCAGAGGUGAAGAUACGCAGGACGUCCUCUAAAGCAACUUCCGUGGGUGCCAGGUUGUGGGCUGGGGGCGGUGCUGACCUUGAGAGAGCGGAGGAGGCGCAGGCGCAGCACAGGUGGCAAUUGAAGCCGGAAGAACAUCUACCAAGAGCAGAGAACCCAGGAAGAAAAUUCUGCCUCUUUAAUACGUUCCAAUAUGGACGUUUUCCAUAUAGAUACCUAUCUAUAUAGAUAGAUGCUCUGGGAUCUGACGGUCCUGGACACCUGUAUGGCUGUGUGCUGUGGUCUUUGCCUAGCCUGCGGUUCACUUUUGCUCUGGCCACCACCUCCCCUCAUGUACAAACCGCGUCUCUGCUCUGCCAGUCUUGGCCCCCGUCAGGCAGCGGUUCACUCCCUCACCAGGGAAGUCUAGAUAGAUAGAUAUAGAUAGAUAUCGAUCGAUAGAUAUAGAUAUAUAUAUAGAUAGAUAGAUAGGUAGAUAUAUGGAUAGAUAUAGAUAUUUGGAUAGAUAUGUAGACGUCUAUCUAUAAAUAUAUCGAUAUAUCGGGGUUCUCAGCCAUCCCAAAGAAGCUUGCACAGGGCCAGUUGCUUUAUGUCAGGAAAAGGGACACAGACUGAGUGUAUGAGGGUUUUUUUUUUCUAUAGAUGUAUAGAUAUUUAUAUCAGAUGCAAAUAAGUGAAACUCUCAUACAACUUUUAAUUUUGUGUUUUUUCCAAACUCUAUUCCAUUCAACUUUUUCUGCCUUUUUAUUUGAUUAUAAUGAGACAUCGUACUGGAGGCAGGCUUGAAAUGGAUAUACAGAGCACUUUCAACCCAGAAAUUUGUCUCACGACUUGGGGUCCUUACUUAAGUUGUAGCUGUUAGUAAUUUCAUCCAUGAAUUCACUUUGUGCCAUAGUGUGAUGUUUUGUUAUGAAGUUGGAAUUGGGAAGGGAAACUAGGAAGUUUUGGGAGAAGUUAAGAAGGUUGAGUAGGCAGGCGUUGUUAUAGAUAUUAAAUUUCACCCUGCUUAUCAAAGUACCUGGAGCGUAUGGUAUCCAAGCUGUAAAUGGCCCAAAGGAAUCGGGGUUCUCAGCCAUCCAAAAGAAGCAUGCACAGGGCCAGUUAUUUUAUGUCAGGAAAGGGGACACAGACUGAGUGUAUGAGGGUUUUUUUUUUUGUUUUUUUUUUUUAGUUUAAACUUGAUUUUGUGAGGGGACGAACAGCGUGACAAUUAAAAGAAGAUCUGGGAAUCGUAAGUACUGACAGAAUACCUGGAGGGAAGGUGGGACUGGAGAAUAGUUUGUGAAACAGAUCCUGCUGAGGAUGAAUCCAGAACUUCCUGAAGGGUUCCGCUUCUGCUGUGUAGGGACAAGGUUGUAAAUAGACAAGCCACAGGCACCUGCAAAUGGUAAGUGUGGUAGAGAGGGGCUGGAAUUGCCUGUUGGUGUAUCUGUGGGAAGCAGCUGCUAUCCUUGAGGAAGAAAAGAUGGAGAAGGUAAGUGGCUAUCAACCUGUCAGAGACAACACAUUCUGUGAAGUUGUACUCUUUCAUUUCUGACACUGUGGUUCUUAAUAUCUGUCCUAAACCUGGCAGUCAUUGAGGUUCGCAAAGUAUCUCCUUCUAUGUGACAGUAAAACUGGAAUUACUAUCAGAAUGGAAUCCAUUCCUGCUAGAGUAAAACCAUGAAAAGAAAUCGCAGUUUUGAUUAUCUGCUUAUCAUUUUUAAUAGAUCACAGAGUGCAGUGUUCCUUAUUUGUUGUAUGGCAAGUUGAUGAAUAACUCUUGAUUAAUAUCUUUUAAUGUUCUGUUUCACACAGUUCUCUCAAUUACAUGUGAAAAAUCUGUUAUAUAAGUAAUGCUAUUUAAUGAUUAAAAUGGAUAUAUGUUUUAAGGUAGUGCCACCCAGUCUUUUUUUUUUGGUAGAAUAAUAUUAUUAUCUAUUGGUUGCCUGCCUUGAAGUACAGUAAUUUCUCUGUUUCCAUUAUUUAAAAUAGGUGAGUGUCUUUGACAAAGAUACAAAGAAAGGGGACAGUUAUGAAAGGGAAGAAAAGAUAGAUGGAGAUGAAAAGAAAUUCAGUAGUUUCAGCAAGGGAAUUAGGAGCAUAAUCUUUGAGAAAAGUCUUGGUUGCUUACCAUUCGGGCUUUGUGAUGAGUUGAAAUGUCCUGAAUGAGAACUGUUCUCAAAUGCUUUCAAGACCAACAAAAAGUACGAUACCCACACUGACCUGGAACUCUUUAAACCAUUAAGAUAUAUCACUUUUUCGCAGUUCAGUCCAUAUUUUUUGCAAAAUGUUCUGCUUAGUUUUUCUGCUAAGAAAUUACUGUUUCUGAACAAGGUUAAGUGUCGUAUGCUUUCAUUGUAGUUUUUUUUCCCCUAACAUAUACUGUUUUCCUAAUUAGACUAUAAAUUCCUCCACAGCUGGGACCUUGUUUUGUUUUCUCGCCUUCCCCAUAACAAAUAUCAUUUAAGUGAAUGUUGUAAACAGUUACUUCAUUUAAAUUGCCCUUAAAAUGCUUUAUGACAAAGACGUUAUUUGUAGUAAUACCUAUAAUGGUAAAAAGUUUGUUGCAGUCUUACAGACGAUAAGAUUGAUCAAUUGUUAUAUAUGCUUAGUGGAAUUUUAUCUAGCUGUUCUAAAGAGCCAUUAGACUAGUCUUUCUAAUGGAAAAUGUUUAUUGUCUAAGUUAAAACAGCAUUUGAGGCCAGGCACAGUGGCUCACUCCUGUUAUUGCAGCACUAUGGGAGGCUGAGGUGGGAGGAUCACUAGAGCACAAGAGUUGGAGACUAGCCUAGGCAAUAUAGUGAGACCUCUUCUCUACAAAAAAUUUAAAAAUUAGCUGAGUGUGAUGGGGUGUGCCCGUAGUUCCAGCUACUCAGGAGACUGAGGUGGGAGGAUCACUUGGGUCCAAGAGGUAGAUGUUGCAGUAAACCAAGAUCAUGCCACUGCACUGCAGCCUGGGCAACAGAGCAAGAUCCUGUCUCAAAAAAUUAAAAAGCAUUUUAUAGACUGCAUGUUUGUGUCCCCCCUCCCUCCGCACCAGAAUUCAUAUAUUGAAGCCUUAAUCUCCAAUGACAUGAUAUUAGUAGGUGGGGCCUUUGGGGGGUGAUUAAAUAAUAAGGGUGAAGCCCUGCAUGGGAUUAGUGCCUUUACAACAAGAGACCCUAGACAGCUUGCUUCCACUCUUUCUUUGCUCUUCACCAUGUGAGGACACAGCAAGAAAACAGACAACUACAAAUCAGGAAGAGGGCCUAAUUUGUGCCAACCAUGCUGGCACUCUUCUCUAACUUCCCAGCCUCCAGAACUGUGAGAAAUAAAUUUCUGUUGUUUAAGUCACCCAGUUUAUGGUAGUUUGGUUAUAGUUGCCCAUAUUAAGACAGCAGGAUGCAAAAUUGUGGCCAGUAUGAUUGCUUUGACAUGAAACAAAUUUUAAGCACAAAUUGCAAAAAGUAACCAAAAUAUAUCAAUCCCCACUGCUGGCAUUAACACUCUAAAACAAACUUUGUAUAUUGGGGGAUUUUAUUUAUUUAUUUAUUUAUUUUUUUUGCUGACCAUAGUGACUCAUGCCUAUAAUCCCAGCACUUUGGGAGGCCGAGUUGGGCAGAUCACUUGAGGCCAGGAAUUCAAGACCAGCCUGGCCAACAUGGCAAAACCCCCUCUUUACAAAAAUAUAAAAAUUAACCAGGCAUGGUGGCACACCCCUGUAGCCCCACCUACUUGGGAGGCUGAGGUGGGAGGAUCGCUUGGGCCUGUGAAGCAGAGGUUGCGGAGAGCUGUGAUGGCACCACUGCACUCCAGCCUGUGUGACAGAGCGAGACUAUCUCAAGAAAAAAAAAAAAGGAUGAGGAUUUUUUUUGUUUUCAACAUGCUUUUUAACAUCCACUAUAUUACUCUCAUCUUUCUAGGCUGGAAAAAAAAAUGUUUUAAAUGUUAUUCUGAAGUAUAUUGCAACCUUUAACAAUUCAGUAGACUUCUGAAUUUUUAUUUUCAUGUAGCUUACCACAGUUGUAUCUAGGAAUAUAUCACAUAGCUGAUUAAUUGGUGAAAUAACCCUUGCAAUUUUACACAGGUUGUACAGUGCACAUUUUCAAGGACCACUCACAUACAUCCAUUUGAUAUUUUUUGGUAUCAAGAAAGUCUUUAAACAAUCAGUACCACCAAUAGCAGUAAAAAGACAAAACUGUCUGAAAGUACCUAUCUGUUUAAAACUUUAAUUAGCUUUAUCCAUCCAUUAAAUAGUUAUUGAAUAUAAAACUGUAUCAUUCACUCUUCUACACUCUGAGGAAAUAGUGGUAAAUAAAGCAGAUAUUGUCCCUACUAUCAGGAAAUUUACAUUUUAGUAGUAAUAAGCCAUAAAUUAACAAAAACAGAAGACAGUGGUAAGUACUAGGCAUGAAAUUCAAACAUGACUAUUUUAGAUUAGGUGAUUAAAGAAACUAAAAUACCAUUUAAGCUGCUGUGUAAAUGACAAGAGAAUCCAGCUUUGUAAAAAUUGGUGAACCCUUUGCUUGCAGAAGGGACAACUGCAAAAUCUAAGGCAUGAUCUAGCCUGGAAUAUUUCAGGAGCCAAAAGAAGGCCUGCAUGGUUAGAGAAUAGUGACUUAAGACGCAAAUACUGUAACUUUGGAGGGAUAGGAAAGGGCUAGAUCAUGUUACCUUUGAAAGACAGGAAAGAGUUUAGAUUUUAUUCUAUGUGCAAUGGAAAAAAAAAUGAGAGCAUUUUAAUCCAAAGAGUAAUAUAAGAUAAUAUAUUUUUAAAAUCCACUUUGGUAAUUUGUUAAUUGGCAUAAAGAGUCAGCUUUCAUGUAACAUAAUUACUAACAUACUUGGAUUUAAAUUUGUCAUUAUUCUUAUUUUAUUUGUCCCACCUCUUAUAUGUUCAUUUUGUCUUCUUUUGCCUUUUUGAUUUUUUUUUUUCUUAAUUAGGCCAUAGCACCUGAUAUUCCCAGGCAGACUCUCAUCCAAGUGCCAAUCAGCCCCA